CAUAUGAACUGAGUCGGUCGCCGGUCCCGUCCUCGCGGCCUCUGAGCGCUCGGUCCCGCGGCCUGGCGCUGCUCGUGACCUCUUGAGUUACGCCUCACGGCUUCCCUGUGGUGCCAGCUGCUCUGAAAACGCCCCGAACGAUGGCAGUGCUUGCUGGAGCAUCGAGAUGAGGCAAGCUGCUGGGUUUCGCCAGUGGCUCAAGCCUGCAGUCAUUGCCUCAACGAUAGUGGAGUCUGUUUGCUGCACCGAUCCACUGACAUCAGAUGGCCUGACCAAUGUUGCAAUCACUGGGCGUAAGGAGAUUCCACUCUGCUGAUCUGUUUGGGAUCUGCCUCAAAGGAAACGCAACAAACAGCACCCAGAGGCCAUUGCAAGGAGUGGGAGCUGUGUUAAGCAACAUGCUCCACAAGCACAUAGGGAGGCAGGAUAUUCUGCUUGGAAAUCUUGCAACCUUUGUGGAGACAAGCUACAGCAGAAAUGCAAUUUGGAACUUCCAAAGAUGAUUGUGUCUGCAGAGCACUUUGAAUCCCUCACACAAAAAGCACUACAGCAACGUGAAGAGCUACUGUUGAUAUCAAUAAAUCACUUCAACCAGAAAAGGAAUGCGGCUUUCCGUUUUAGAACAACAAACAAACCACAGCAGUAUUUACUGAGCACUUUAAAGAUAACAGUGGUUACAUAAACACUAAGAAUUAUUAAGGUUUCUUUGUGAAAAGGUUAACUGCGUAGUGGUAAACAGUAUUGCAACUUCCAAGCCCAUCUACAGCCAAAAUAAGCACCUUUUAGUUACAGGGAACUCAAAGCCAAAUCCAGCCCUCUCUUCAAAGGCUCCAAGAUGAAGCGAAUACCAGAAGGUCUUCAUGCCUAAAAACCGCAAGCUGGAUGAAGAGGGUCUUGGCUGAAGCCAGAUUCAACUUCAAUCUGAACAUGGCAGAGAAAUGUUUUCCUGACACUUCUCUACCACUGUUGUACAGCCUGUGGACCUUACCACCCAGCAUUAAGGAGAGCCUAGAGGGAGCUACGAGCCUCUCCCUUCAAACUGUGGCAGAACCACAUUUUAAAUAUUCUUUAGAUGCAAGAAAAGCCUGUUACUACAGCCCAACACUACUCAGAAAAGAAGAUCUAGUAAGUGCAUCCCAUAAGAAGGCCAUCAGAUACCCAUAUGGGACGUGUCAUCCCAGAUGUUCUUCACCUGCUGCAUUAGAACAUAGGUUGUGGUAGCCAGUCAUGGAGGCAGCAGGGAACAGGACCUGGAAAGUCCUGCUGUGAAUGGUGGGGAGCAUUUUCUCAUGGGCAGGCAUAGCUCAAGUAGCUCUUCUGUUGAAUAGCUGGCCCUUUUAGGGUGAGACUACCUGAACAAGAAAUAUGCCUGGCAGAGAGGUUACCUGCAGCCCAUCUGAUAAUAAUCGUUGCUCACCCAGAAUGGCUGGCUACUGAAGACCCUCCAGUGAUUAUCCUUCCCCUUCACAACUCUGACAGGGCUUUUCAUCUUAAGGAUGUGUUUUUUUCACAUCUGUUUAUAUGAAAAAACUUUAAGGAGAAAUAUCAGUGUUGUGGCAAGGCUGCCUGGAGUCCCUGUAGCUUUCUCCAGAACAGUAUGUUCACCUUCAGCCUGCUGUGGCCUCCAAAUGAACUUGUUAAAGAAGUUAGAGUCCAGCCCUGUAAAAUGCUGUGCAACAAACUUUCCCAAUAAGGCUCUCAAGAUUUCUACCUGCUCAAUUUUUUUCAGUCUUUCAGAGGAUUGAAACCUGGAUACAAUCAUCGUCCACAUGUCUUGCAUAAUUCUUUGGUUCUGUACCAAUUCAUCUGUGAAGUUUCAGUGAGGCACAUUAUUUUAAUUUGAAAAAUACAGCAGCAUGUAUUACCUAAGCAAUUAGAUGUUUUCUGAUGUUGCCUUACACUGUUGGAAAACUUAAAGCUUUCCUUUCUAAUGCUGAAUUAAGAGAAAUUUCAGCUGCCAAGCAGCUCUCUUUAUCCAACCCUGACUUCUUACCUCACUUACUCACAAAAAUAAUAACUUUAUGAUUUGGUAAUAUAUAUGGCUAAUUUGCUCUACUGUAAACUGCAUUUCUUUGUGCAAACUCACUAUUUUUUUUUUUUCCCUCCAGACACUGAAGCAAAAGUGCAAAAAUUGAGCUAAAUCCUAGCUAAAUCCAUUUUUAAAGCAGAGCAUACUUUAUGCUUCCUUACAUUUUUUCUCUGUCCUCAACAUCUUACAUAAUUUUUCAACAAUUUGUCAGAGUCUGAAGACAAGUGAAAUGUCUGGAUUUAUAUUCUGGAUUAACAUUGUAUCUCAACUCACUGCAAAAUAAUCUCUAAUGUGUUUGUGGCUAACAAGACUUAGUAUGUUUAUGUUUUAGUACAUACUGCAGAAAUGUCUGGGUUUCAAUGUAGCAACUUAUAGUAAUAUGGUUAUAACAGCUCUUUACAACACCUUAACAAUUUGCUCUGCUUUCUGCACACAGGCACCAAGUAGCAUGUCUCAUUCUAAGCAUCUCAGCCACAAAACAAAGGACAAAUUUGCUGUUGAUAAUUCAUCUUCCAGGCCCACAUUCAUUAGUGGGCCUGUUCAAGUGUGGCUACAUGUAACCCUCUCACCAGCUGUUAAAAACACCUGUAUGCUGUGAACUUCUUCAUUAACUCCCAUCACAGAAGAGUGCAUUGCAUAGUAGUAGUGGAUAUCAAACCAUAGUGUAACAUACAGGGAACGGCAUGCAGAAUAUACGUAGAUUACUUGUAGAGCAUCCGUACUGUUGUGUCUGACAGCCAAACUUCUGAUGUACUUGAUUUGCUCAGAAACUUAUCCUGUCCUUUCCUGUGGAAAGGUGGGUAUGUAUGCUGUAGGGCUGAGGAUACCUUCCCACAGCACUGCAUACACAUUGCAAAAUGCUGCAUGCUGUCCCACUGUGUCUCUGUUGCUGGACAGAGGAAUCAGUCCAGGUGCUACGUCAAGGAGGAAAUCACUUUUAGUUAUUAUUUGUUUGGUAUCUUUUGGCAUAAUUCAUAAUGCUCUGGAUCAUUUUACAAAGCUCUAUGUAGAAACCAAAAUGUUACCAAAGCCCUGGGCUGGCAGGAGGACUUUUCCUGUUGGGAUGUCACAGACGGGAUGUCCCUCUAGCCUUGUGUGGCACUUGGUGGUACAGAGGAAUUGGCAGAGCUAGCACUGCCAGCAAAGGGAUUGCAGCAGCACCGUGGGGACCAACUGACUCCAAACAGCUGCAAGACCUGUGUGUCCUUUUGGCACAAGGGCUGAGUGCUCCCAGCCCACAAGUGCACCCCGAGGCACUCAUCACUAGGUGUGUGGCCAUGCCAGUAUGGGAAUGUGUCUUUGAAACACUGGGAGCACUUGGGUGUGGGGGGAUGCACAGACUGCAGGCGUGGAGGAGCUAACGUCCCUGGUGCAUAGGAAAGUCUGUAUGCAAACACUGCUCUCAGGCCAAACCCUGCUCUUGUCGUCAUCCUUCUGAGUUCAGAGAUGCCAUGUGGAGGCGCAAGGGCAUGGUGGCUCCCUGGCAAGGGCCUCACAUGUUCACAGUCAUAUGCUGGAGAGGCUGAUCAGUUCUGCAAACUGUUUCAAAAAGCCCUUCUUGGUCAAUCUAGGUUUACCGUCAUGCUAAUGUCAUCGGGGCUCAACUCUGCCAAAACACAUUUGCUGCAUUAGCUUUUCCUUUGCUUUUCCUUUGUGCGGAGGAGUCGGAGAAUACGUUCAUUUUUUGUUAGUUCUGCUGGCAAUUCAUUUGCCUGGAACAAAAAACCUCAAAGUUAGGAAAAAUAAGCAAUUAUUUCCUAUACAUUCUUUAAAAGCAUUCAGUUCUAAAGAACAUGGUGCUGAGCUUAACCAUUACCUGCUUAUUUCAACGUUGUCUCUACCACUGUUGGAGAUACCUUAAGAAGUAAUCUUUGCAUGCAGUGUGCAAGUAUCACUCAACUCUUCAGAAUAAUCUUAGCCUGGGAUCUGUCUGGUCAGCUUAUUUUGUGCUGCCUGCCCAAACUAAAUCGUAUCCUUUGAGUUCUCUUUGCUGCAGGCACAAAAUUUAAAGAGAACAUUGCUGCUGAGUUGUUUUUUUGGGAAAUAAAAAUCAAAAGAAAGACUUUAAUUGCUAUGAAAUAGUCAGCCCUAUUCUUUAGGAUAGAUAAUAUAAAAGCAGAGUUUGGUCUUCUUUACGUAUUGAAAAAAAAACAACCUGAUUACAGAAAAUACUUAUAAUGAAUCUACUUCUGAAUAUCAGUAAUUCUGUUUUGCAAAUGUACUCUGUUUUACAUCAAAUUAAAAAAAAAUGGGUAGAAGAGGUUAUAAAUGCAGACCUUUCUAUGCUGCACACUCUCCUACUGCAGAUUGCCAUCAACAGCAGAAAAAUCUUGCACCUUGGAGAACAGCAAAACUGCCAUACAAGCAGCAUUAACUCUGCUGCCAUCAAGUGGAUUGAUAUAGAAAUAACAUGAAGAUUUUAUCAGAAUGCAUAUGCUGGAUUAUUUGUAUUAUAAAAUUUCACUGACAUAAUCAUAAACCAGAAGUAAAUACCAGUUAACUCAUUCACAGCUUAACUAAGCCAGCCAGAUAUCAAAUGCCAACAGCAAAUAGUUCAUAAAGACAACUCAGAGGAAGAUACUUCCAUAGAAAUGACCAAACAUACAGUAUUAAAACACUUUACAGAAUAAAAAAAGCCAAUGUUCUGCUGUCAUAAAAAGAAUCUGAAACUAUUUCAAUAAACUAACAUAUUUACAAGAAUGUGGUGGA
Long non-coding RNA from Centrocercus urophasianus (Greater sage-grouse), 4738 nucleotides. RefSeq lists it as uncharacterized. Lineage: Eukaryota; Metazoa; Chordata; Aves; Galliformes; Phasianidae. The transcript is spliced from 4 exons. The record is from RefSeq and is a predicted model, not a curated record.